Molecule: ribosomal RNA, 467 nt
Filed under: uncultured bacterium
Lineage: Bacteria
Description: bacterial SSU rRNA
Rfam family: Bacterial small subunit ribosomal RNA
Source: RNAcentral
AAUGCUUACACAUGCAAGUCGAGCGGCAGCGCGGGGGCAACCCUGGCGGCGAGCGGCGAACGGUGAGUAAUAUAUCGGAACGUACCCCGUCUGGGGGAUAACACAGCGAAAGCUGUGCUAAUACCGCAUACGACCUGAGGGUGAAAGCGGGGGGAUCGCAAGACCUCGCGCGAUGGGAGCGGCCGAUAUCGGAUUAGCUUGUUGGUGAGGUAAAGGCUCACCAAGGCGACGAUCCGUAGCUGGUCUGAGAGGACGACCAGCCACACUGGAACUGAGACACGGUCCAGACUCCUACGGGAGGCAGCAGUGGGGAAUUUUGGACAAUGGGGGCAACCCUGAUCCAGCCAUUCCGCGUGAGUGAAGAAGGCCUUCGGGUUGUAAAGCUCUUUCAGCAGGAACGAAACGGUGGCCACUAAUACUGGCUACUAAUGACGGUACCUGAAGAAGAAGCACCGGCUAACUACGUG